RNAcentral lists this ribosomal RNA (301 nucleotides) under uncultured bacterium. RNAcentral's name for it is "partial 16S ribosomal RNA". It matches the Rfam family "Bacterial small subunit ribosomal RNA", at positions 509 to 807 of the family's 1533-position model. The record is from RNAcentral.
CAGUAGCCACGGUAAUACGAAGGGGGCUAGCGUUGUUCGGAUUUACUGGGCGUAAAGCGCACGUAGGCGGAUCGAUCAGUCAGGGGUGAAAUCCCAGAGCUCAACUCUGGAACUGCCUUUGAUACUGUCGAUCUGGAGUAUGGAAGAGGUGAGUGGAAUUCCGAGUGUAGAGGUGAAAUUCGUAGAUAUUCGGGGGAACACCAGUGGCGAAGGCGGCUCACUGGUCCAUUACUGACGCUGAGGUGCGAAAGCGUGGGGAGCAAACAGGAUUAGAUACCCCGGUAGUCCCUGUCUCUUAUAC